Molecule: long non-coding RNA, 943 nt
Filed under: Homo sapiens (human)
Lineage: Eukaryota; Metazoa; Chordata; Mammalia; Primates; Hominidae
Description: HSALNT0224517
Source: RNAcentral
GUGGCUCACGCCUAUAAUCCUAGCACUUUAUGGGGCUGAGGCAGGAGGAUCGCUUGAGCCCAGGAGUUUGAGACAAGCCUGGGCAACAUAGUGAGACCCCCGUCUCUACAAAAAAUUUAAAAAUUAGCUGGGUGUGGCGAUGUGCUUGUGAAAUAUAGAAAACAGAUUUUCUUCUCCCAUCCCCUCCAGCAUUAAGGUGUUACUGACAAAGAAAAAUUGUAUAUAUUUACACUGUACAACAUGAUGUUUUGAUAUAUGUAUACAUAGCAAAAUGAUGAAAUCAAGUUAUUAACAUAUCCAUCACCUCACAUACUAUUCAUUUAAAACAGAGUUUUACGUCAAUUGAGUCACAUAUAAAAUUGGUAGCUUACUGUGAAAGGAAUCCUGUGACGCAAUGUUUUUAUAGGGGACUUCCUUCAGCUAAAAACUAAUUUUUCUUUGUUAAACAUGGAUUUUCUCAUUUUGGUUUUGAGAAUUACUCCUAUUUCUCCCAAGUGGACUCAUAAAAUCUCUGGGCCAAAUUAGUCUAACAGUUCCGAUCUAUUUUUAUAAUCCAAAUCUAUAAACUCACAAAAUAAAGUUAUCUUACCAAGGAAAAACUUCUGGGCUGGAAGAAAAAUAGCCACUAUGAUAUAGGGAAGCUAGAUUUAUCUCAGACAAUGGAAUACUCUAUUCUAGAGAAUAAUAUAUUGAAAUACCUGAAAAAUAAUGGGACAAACUGACAUCAGGUGCUUCUUGGCAAGAUGCAAUGAGGACACAGGAUCUCUUUUUUUUGAGACAGGGUCUCACUCUGUUGCCCAGGCUGGAGUGCAGUGGCACAAUCUUGGCUCAAUGCAACCUCCACUUCCCAGGCUCAGCCUCCUGAGUAGCUGGGACUACAGUGCAUGCCAACAUGCUGGCUACAUUUUUAUUUUUUUGUAGAGACAAGGUCUCGCCAUUUUGG